Long non-coding RNA from Cyprinus carpio carpio, 1582 nucleotides. Lineage: Eukaryota; Metazoa; Chordata; Actinopteri; Cypriniformes; Cyprinidae. The record is from Ensembl.
ACUGAUUCAUGAACUACUUUGAAUAAUUGAAAAGAACCGACCACAACAUUUUGAACUGUAGUGUACCUUGUGGUGAUGGGCGUGGUUUAGCAGGGUUUGCAGCAGGAGAGAGCGGUUGGAGACAAGCAGUGAGUAAGCAGGUCAACUGCAGAACUAAAAUGAAUUACAAAAUGACAUACAAUACGUGCUGGACCUGAGAACAAAACUCCACACCUUGGGGGCGGCUAUCAGUGGAGAAUUUGUUACAGGCACAGGGUCAGCAAAGCCUGCUAUAUAACGGGGGGCCAGACUACGUCAAUUUGCACUGGGAGAAAAAGUACUUGUAUUGCUUCCUACGUCUAGCUUUAAAUUACUCGCUAAGUGGCAAGGACCCUUUUAGGUCACAAUUAUGAGGUAAUUCGUACAGACAGGAGCAGGGCACAUCAGAUUAACCACCUCAAUGGAAUCAGUGAUGCUAGUGAUGGCAGUGAGUAAGGAGGAGGAUCUCAGGCCAGAAGUGAACAUCAAACAUCAAUAUCUGGCUCUGGCCCCUGGAGGAGAUCACCUCUCGCCCCUGCAGCUCACUGAUGUAGCUAAGCUACUGACUGCUUUUGUGGAUGUGAUUUCAUUCCUGCCUGUUCAAACAGACCUCAUAUAGCACCAUAUUGAGACCAAGCCGGGAGUGGUGAUUCACCUGAACACAAAAAAAGGUGGUUCAGACGGUAUUAGAGGCGAUGCUAGCGAUGGGAGUAAUAGAGGAAUCCACAAAUAUUGGGCAAGCCCAUUAGUUUUAGUACCUAAAACGGACGGCUCUGUGCGAUUCUGUGUGGAUUAUUGCAAGGUGAAUGCUGUGUCGAAAUUCGAUGCAUAUCCAAUGCCGCGGGUCGACAAAUUGAUUGAUCAAUUUUAUUUGACAGUGGAUUUGACUAAAGGAUAUUGGCAGAUCCCCUUAUCACCUUUAUCCAAAGAAAAAACAACGUUCACAACGCCAUUUGGAUUACACCAAUUUGUUAUGCUUUCUUUCGGGUUGUUCAGGACACCGGCCAAAUUUCAGUGCCUCAUGGAGAAAAUUCUGUGGCCGCAUGCUGCAUAUGCCACUGCAUAUUUGUAUGAUAUUAUCAUCUAUAGUAAUGACUGGCAGCUGCAUAUGGAGCACUUGCGUCCAUACUGUGAGCACUGAGGGGGGUCUAGUAUCUGGGCUUCCACUUGGGUCACAGGCAGAUGCGUCCCCAAAUUAGUAAGACUGCAGCGUUUGCAACUUUCCCGAGACCCAAGACCAAAAAGGAGAUGAGGCAGUUCUCUGGGGCUGGCGGGAUAUUAUAGAAGUGAUUGGCGUGGCGAGACCGUAAAAGGAAACAGAAGUGGCAGAGAGAGACAGACUGAGGACUCGUGGCUUGUGGUCUGUGGAGUGGAAAUAAUAUUGCCAUAGUGCUGUGAAUUCAUGUUUACUUUAUGCAUGUGGACGCACCCUUGUUUGAAACUCUGAAUCCCUGAAUAAAUUACCACAAGCCUCAGUCACGCCGAAUUCUUCCUUUCCCCUCAAGAACUUGAAAUAAAUAAACAUACCUAUUUAUUUAUUUAAAGCUAAGCCUAACCAUAAAAA